RNAcentral lists this ribosomal RNA (323 nucleotides) under uncultured eukaryote. RNAcentral's name for it is "partial 18S ribosomal RNA". It matches the Rfam family "Eukaryotic small subunit ribosomal RNA", at positions 1470 to 1796 of the family's 1831-position model. The record is from RNAcentral.
CCCUUAGAUGUUCUGGGCCGCACACGCGCUACACUGAAGGAGGCAGCGUGUACUCCUGGAUCGAAAGAUUUGGGUAACCCGCGAAUCUCCUUCGUGCUAGGGAUUGAGGUUUGCAAUUAUCCUUCAUGAACGAGGAAUUCCCAGUAAGUGCAAGUCAUAAGCUUGCGCUGACUACGUCCCUGCCCUUUGUACACACCGCCCGUCGCUACUACCGAUUGAAUGAUCCGGUGAAUAAUUCGGACUGCAGCUUUGAACAGUCCCUGUUCUCGGCUUGCGGAAAGUUUAGUGAACCUUAUCACUUAGAGGAAGGAGAAGUCGUAACA